ACGGCAAAUAAUCAUGGCACAUGGGGCAUUUUCAUAAUUUCGGAUGGCAUGGCGUGAGCUGAUUCGACUGGGAGCACGGUGAGCCCGAUCUACACAUGGUGCAUGGGCACAAUAUCAGGCAGAUGUGCACAAUCCAAAAGCAGAUGUGCGAGCAGCUGCGGAAGUUGGGAGGCUUGAUCAAGUAGCUGCAGAUAGUGGGAAGCUUGAUCAGGCAUGAUC
This 219-nucleotide long non-coding RNA is filed under the name Elaeis guineensis (African oil palm). RNAcentral's name for it is "long non-coding RNA (EGUI_LNC037780)". Lineage: Eukaryota; Viridiplantae; Streptophyta; Magnoliopsida; Arecales; Arecaceae. The record is from RNAcentral.